GGAGGAACUUGCAAAUCAGUAAGCAAGAAAUGAAGUCAUUGUAGUUCACAACUCAAGGCUGCAAGAGCCCUAUAUCCAGCUUUAGAGGAAGAACGAGAUACAAUUGUUUGCUUCUUAGUUUUCCAUAGAGCUGUCAAAACGGGUAACCCGGCUCAACCCGGCCCGGCCCACCACAGGUUGGUCACUUAGUGAGCCAACCCAAUCCGACUCAUUUAUUAGCGAGCUAGAAAAAUCUGAACCCGGCUCGACCCACCACAGGUUGGUGGGUAAACGGUUUGGCUCACUUGCCCAUUUAAUUAGAGUUUUUUUUUUCAAAUAAAAAAAUUACAAACUUUCUAUAUUCAAAUUUAAACAAA
RNAcentral lists this long non-coding RNA (356 nucleotides) under Vigna radiata. RNAcentral describes it as "long non-coding RNA (VRAD_LNC002468)". Lineage: Eukaryota; Viridiplantae; Streptophyta; Magnoliopsida; Fabales; Fabaceae. The record is from RNAcentral.